AGAGUUUGAUCCUGGCUCAGAUUAAACGCUGGCGGCAUGCCUUACACAUGCAAGUCGAACGGCAGCACGGGGGCAACCCUGGUGGCGAGUGGCGGACGGGUGAGUAAAGCAUCGGAACGUAUCCUGGAGUGGGGGAUAACGUAGCGAAAGUUACGCUAAUACCGCAUAUUCUGUGAGCAGGAAAGCAGGGGAUCGCAAGACCUUGCGCUCUGGGAGCGGCCGAUGUCGGAUUAGCUAGUUGGUGGGGUAAAGGCCUACCAAGGCGACGAUCCGUAGCGGGGUCUGAGAGGAUGAUCCGCCACACUGGGACUGAGACACGGCCCAGACUCCUACGGGAGGCAGCAGUGGGGAAUAUUGGACAAUGGGCGCAAGCCUGAUCCAGCCACGCCGCGUGAGUGAUGAAGGCCUUCGGGUCGUAAAGCUCUGUGGGGAGGGACGAACGGCGCCAUGAAGAGUGGCGAUUGACGGUACCUCCUUAGCAAGCACCGGCUAACUUCGUG
RNAcentral lists this ribosomal RNA (500 nucleotides) under uncultured bacterium. RNAcentral describes it as "bacterial SSU rRNA". It matches the Rfam family "Bacterial small subunit ribosomal RNA", at positions 8 to 507 of the family's 1533-position model. The record is from RNAcentral.